UGGGGAAUAUUGCACAAUGGGCGCAAGCCUGAUGCAGCCAUGCCGCGUGUAUGAAGAAGGCCUUCGGGUUGUAAAGUACUUUCAGUCGGGAGGAAGGUGUCAAGGUUAAUAACCUUGGCAAUUGACGUUACCGACAGAAGAAGCACCGGCUAACUCCGUGCCAGCAGCCGCGGUAAUACGGAGGGUGCAAGCGUUAUUCGGAAUUACUGGGCGUAAAGCGCACGCAGGCGGUUGAUUGAGUCAGAUGUGAAAUCCCCGGGCUUAACCCGGGGAUUGCAUCUGAUACUGGUCAGCUAGAGACGUGUAGAGGGGGGUAGAAUUCCAUGUGUAGAGGUGAGAUGCGUAGAGAUGUGGAGGAAUACCGGUGGCGAAGGCGGCCCCCUGGACAAAGACUGACGCUCAGGUGCGAAAGCGUGGGGAGCAAACAGG
RNAcentral lists this ribosomal RNA (429 nucleotides) under Chloroflexota bacterium. RNAcentral describes it as "Chloroflexi bacterium partial 16S ribosomal RNA". It matches the Rfam family "Bacterial small subunit ribosomal RNA", at positions 355 to 776 of the family's 1533-position model. The record is from RNAcentral. Lineage: Bacteria; Bacillati; Chloroflexota.